AUGGAUGGAUGGAUGGAUGGAUGGAUGGAUGGAUGGAUGGAUGGAUCCAUGGAUCCAUGGAUGGAUGGAUGUGUGAUGGAACCUGGUGUGUUUUGUUCAUGUUUUGUUCACUAAAGGGUUAAAGAUAGAGGCAAUAAAAAAAUACUUAGGCCUAAAACCGCGUGUAACCCAAACCGCAUGCAAUCACAAGUAUAUUCUUGCUUAAUAAAUGCUUGCUUAAAAUAUCCUUGCUUAAUAAGUGCUUGCUCAAUAAACCAUCAGUUCUACAAUUUCAGGCAUGACCACUAAAUAAGGAGAAGUCGACCAAAGGACACCUGAGGAAGACUAGCAGCCUUCAUCUGACGACCACCAGGAGGCAGAGGACGACCCCUUAGCGAGAGGAGGACACGUGCAGAGUACUUUUGGGACAUGUCACCAACGAGAAGAGACACAGUAUAACAGUUGGACUGUAACAGAUGGAUGGAUGGAUGGAUGGAUGGAUGGACGGAUGGAUGGAUGGACAGUGUGGCAGGAUGUCCCCAUGGAUCCAGGUCUUACCCAAGCCUGGUUUGGUCACCUGGGUGUCUCAAGAGAGGAGGAGGAGGGAAAUGGGAAUAACAGGAAAACUCUGCUAAUUCUAGAAAUUCUGUGCAAGAAUUUUAUUGUUGAAAGCUUUCAGCAAUAAUAAUAAUAAUAAUAAUAAUAAUCAUCAUCAUCAUCAUAAUUCAUUGUAACCCCAGUCCUCACCCCACUGAGGACCCUUACAGACCCUCAUUCCCACCGUGACACACCGAGCACCCCAAAAAAGUGCAGCUCUUGGCUUUGGGGCUCCACCCGAACCUCUUCCCUCGGCUCUGUCCCACGAGCUGCUCCUCCCAGGCACAGGAGCUCGGGAAAACACAAAGGUCCCGAUCCCAAUCCCGGUCCCCAUGCUAAUCCCAGUCCCGAUCCCGGUGCCGGUCCUGAUCCCAGUACUGAUCCCAAUCCCGGUGCUGUUCCCGAUCACGAUCGUGAACCCGAUCCCAAUCCUGAUCCCGAUGCCGAUCCCAGUCCCACUCCUGAUCCCAGUCCCAAUCCCGAUCCCGGUGCCGAUCCCAGUCCCACUCCUGAUCCCAGUCCCAAUCCCGAUCCCGGUGCCGAUCCCAGUCCCACUCCUGAUCCCAGUCCCACUCCUGAUCCCAAUCCCGAUCCCGGUGCCGAUCCCAGUCCCACUCCUGAUCCCAGUCCCAACCCCGAUCCCGGUGCCGAUCCCAGUCCCACUCCUGAUCCCAGUCCCACUCCUGAUCCCAAUCCCAAUCCCAGUCCCACUCCUGAUCCCAGUCCCAAUCCCGAUCCCGGUGCCGAUCCUGUUGCAGAAGUUCGAAAAUUAUUGAAAAUCAUAUUCUAGUUAAUAGAUGUCUAGAUUAAUGAAGCAAUAUAAUAGUUAGCAUGAGUAGCAGUAGUUCUGCUAAGGCCGCAGUAGGCCCGGUAAACUUUGAGUGAACUUUAGUGCAUGGUAGAUCGGAGGAUGUGUUAUCUAGAGAAUGUACCAAACCUUAUCUAUGGAAUGCACCUUCUGGCAAAGUAACGGGUGUCAUGGUGUACCUAAUAAAUCUCUGUAUGCUGUCUCUAAAGGCAUGCAGGGGUUUGUUGGGUGCAUCAUGACAUUUGUUAAAGAUGCUUAGCGAUGCAUAUAGAUCAAAUGAAGCAAUCAUGUUAAGAAAAGUAUAUAAACCCUGUAGAUUCUGUGGCAAAACGGGGCUCUGACUUUGGACGAAAGUCCUCAGGCUCCCGGGCCCUAAUAAAGCACCUCAUAAAGCAA
Molecule: long non-coding RNA, 1780 nt
Organism: Haemorhous mexicanus (house finch)
Lineage: Eukaryota; Metazoa; Chordata; Aves; Passeriformes; Fringillidae
Exons: 2
Source: RefSeq, a predicted model, not a curated record